This 73-nucleotide transfer RNA is filed under the name Patescibacteria group bacterium. RNAcentral's name for it is "tRNA-Arg". It matches the Rfam family "tRNA". From Rfam's summary of the family: Transfer RNA (tRNA) molecules are approximately 80 nucleotides in length. Their secondary structure includes four short double-helical elements and three loops (D, anti-codon, and T loops). The record is from RNAcentral.
GCUCCUGUAGCUCAACGGAUAGAGCAAUAGCCUUCUAAGCUAGAGGUUCCCGGUUCGAAUCCGGGCGGGGGUA